Mangifera indica (mango) is the source of this 315-nucleotide long non-coding RNA. RefSeq lists it as uncharacterized. Lineage: Eukaryota; Viridiplantae; Streptophyta; Magnoliopsida; Sapindales; Anacardiaceae. The transcript is spliced from 2 exons. The record is from RefSeq and is a predicted model, not a curated record.
ACAAGACAUUGAUUCUUUUCUCUCAUAAAAAUGGAGGAACUGCACUUCCACUCCCAAACAACACCACCUUUUCACUUUUGAAAUUCCCCCGAUCUCCCAACUCCACUGCACGCAAUCCUCCGAAGAAACUUAAAUCCAGGUUAAUGGUAGGCUUCCAUUGGAUUCAAGAUCCCUAAAUCCAGGUUCGAAUUUGAAUGAAUGAUGUGUUAUUUUUGAGUCAAGUGUUUGUUCUUUGACCAACUCUAGGUUUUUUCUUUUGCUAAUGUAUGAUUUCUACUGUUAUAAGAUGUAUUUAUGAAUUUCAGCUUUAUGCGA